GAUUGAAUGGCUGAACUAUAGGCGAUAAAUUGUAAAUUUAUUUAUGGGAAAUUUUCUCUUUAAUCA
RNAcentral lists this transfer RNA (66 nucleotides) under Anopheles peryassui. RNAcentral's name for it is "tRNA-Tyr". The record is from RNAcentral. Lineage: Eukaryota; Metazoa; Arthropoda; Insecta; Diptera; Culicidae.